Molecule: long non-coding RNA, 2578 nt
Filed under: Homo sapiens (human)
Lineage: Eukaryota; Metazoa; Chordata; Mammalia; Primates; Hominidae
Description: HSALNT0131878
Source: RNAcentral
GGACCAACGAAAUAAUUCCGGUUCCCACUUUGACUCUUUGUCCCAGCCCACCCAUGACUGUAUGACAGUGCAUAUUAUUCCAGUUUAGCUGGCUAGGAAACUGAGAAAGAAAGAAGGCAGGAGUCCACUCAGGGCACAGGCGGUGGGGACCACACGAUUCCAAGAGGCACUGACGCCUUCAUGAAGGGCUUCCGUAAAAAGUGGGAAGUACUCCGAUUGCUGGGAGCGUGUUCUAAGUCAGAAUGUUCCUGGUGGUUCAGGGCAGCUCAGAGGAUGCCUCCUCAGAGGGCUUCCCCCACCAUGUCCAGAGUAUCCCCUUUGCUCAUGGCUCCAUGCCUGCCUCACCGUUCUCAGCACUGAUCACUCCCUGUCAUCUACUACCUGCGUGUUUAUCCAUUUGGUCCUCAUCUGACCCCACUGGGGAGUGCUGAGUGCUUGGUGCUCGGUCUAUCCUCACUUCCCUCUGAAUGCUGAGGGCUUGGUGCUUGGUCCAUCCUCACUGCCCUCUGAGUGCUCAGUACUUGGUACUCAGUCUUUUCUCACUGCCCUCUGAGUGCUUGGUGCUCCAUCUGUUCUCACUGCCCUCUGAGUGCAUGGUACUUGGUCCAUCCUCACUGCUGAGUGCUGGGUGCUCGGUCUAUCCUCACUGCCCUCUAAGUGGUCAGUACUUGGUGCUUGGUCCAUCCUUACUGCCCUAUGAGUGCUCAGUGCUCAGUCUGUCCUCACUGUCCUCUGCGUGAUUGGUGCUCAGUCCAUCCUCACUGCCCUAUGAGUGUUCACUACUCAGUGUUCCAUCUGUCCUCACUGCCCUCUGAGUGCUCAGUACUGAGUGCUCCAUCUGUUCUCACUGCCCUCUGAGUGCUCGGUACUUGGUCCAUCUCACUGCCCUCUGAGUGCUCGGUACUUGGUCCAUCUCACUGCCCUCUGAGUGCUCGGUACUUGGUCCAUCCUCACUACCCUCUGAGUGCUUGGUGUUUGGUCCAUCCUCACCACCCUCUGAGUGCUCAGUACUCUGUGUUCCAUCUGUCCUCAGUGCCUUUUGAGUGCUCGUACUUGGUCUGUCCUCACUGCCCUCUGAGUGCUUGGUGCUUGGUCCACCAUCACUGCCCUCUGAGUGCUCAGUACUCGGUGCUUGGUCUGUCCUCACUGCCCUGUAAGUGCUUGGUGCUUGGUUUGUCCUCACUGCCCGGAGCAGUGCAUGGCAUAAGCUCAGUGGGUACAUGCUAACUGAGUGAGUGACUGACAGAGCCUCCCCCUCCCACCCCACUGUCUUUCAGAGACCUUGGGCAACAUUACCAAAUCCUUCAGGCCUCAGCUGUGAAAUGGGUGUGACUGAAACCUCUUUCCAGGCUGUGGUUGAGACUAACUGCGUUAUCACACACAGCACGCUUGGAACAGCACGCAAUGGAUACUAACUAUUAAAAUUGUGCUUAAACCUGGUGUCGUGGACUACCCUGCUAUGUGUAAUCUUAAUGCAAGAGUACGCAGACUGAGAGCGCCACUUGAGACAAGGUCCCCCAAACGCCUGACCGAGUUGGAGAUCAGUGGUGGAAAUUUCAAAGGUAGAGGACACAGCUGCCGUCUUGGGAGUGGUGGACUCCUCCCAGAAGACAAUCAUUUAACCGGAGAAAAUGGUUUUAAACAUCAUUUAAAGUCUCUGAAAUUAUCCUAAGGGCAUACGCAGAAUGAAAAACUAUUUAUUCAGGAAAAUCCAGUAAAUCUUAGUAACAACAGUGAGAGUCUGUGGCAUUUCAGCCUCAGCCCUCCCUCCAAGCCCAUCGAGAAAAUGGAAGCUCUGCUCUCUACAGAUGUGGAAAAGAAAAUGGGGGCCCUACUCCCCCAGUGCCCAGUCUGGGGCUCUGGCCACCUGUGUUGCCCACCUCCCAGCCCCGUGUUAAAAUGUUGAAAGCCAAAUAAAGAGAAAGCCUUGAGAACAGAAAGGGCACGUGACCCAUCGCGCACAAGGAGGCCCCGGUGAGACCCACCGCGCACGAGGGGGGCCCGGUGAGACCUAUCUCACACAAGGGGAUUCUGUAGAUAAUUGUAAAAGACAGUAUAACAUAUUUCUUCUUUCUUCUCAACUUAUUUUUAAAAUGCUUACAUAAAAGAAUAUGUAUAUAAUUACAUUAUUUGUAUUAUAACAUAUAGAAACGUAAUACAUUUGAAAAUAGCAGCACAAAGAAGCCAGGUGGAACAAAGCUGUACUGGAGAGAAAGCAAUGACAUCAGAUAGUAACCAGUAUCCACCGGGGGAAGAAAAGAGAAUCAGAAAUGGUAAAUAAGGAGAUUAAUAUAACAAACUUUAUAAACAUAUACUUGCUCUCCUUUCUUCUCUCAACUUCCUUAAAAGACUUAAGAUUAUAUACAGUAGUAAUUAUAACAAUAUAUUGUUGGGUUUGUAACAUAUACAGGGACAAUAUAUUAAACAACAGCACAAAAAAGAAGUCUAUGGAAUGAAACUAUGUUGUAUGAAGUCUAUGGAAUUGAACUCAUUCCACAGGAGUAUGUUUCUGUAUUUCACUGGUAUUAGGCUAGUAUAAAUCUAAAAUAAAAUUUGAUGUUAAGAUGUACAUUGUAAG